This 446-nucleotide ribosomal RNA is filed under the name uncultured bacterium. RNAcentral's name for it is "partial 16S ribosomal RNA". It matches the Rfam family "Bacterial small subunit ribosomal RNA", at positions 338 to 795 of the family's 1533-position model. The record is from RNAcentral.
CCUACGGGAGGCAGCAGUCGAGAAUCAUUCACAAUGGGGGAAACCCUGAUGGUGCGACGCCGCGUGGGGGAAUGAAGGUCUUCGGAUUGUAAACCCCUGUCAUGUGGGAGCAAAUUAAAAAGAUAGUACCACAAGAGGAAGAGACGGCUAACUCUGUGCCAGCAGCCGCGGUAAUACAGAGGUCUCAAGCGUUGUUCGGAAUCACUGGGCGUAAAGCGUGCGUAGGCUGUUUCGUAAGUCGUGUGUGAAAGGCGCGGGCUCAACCCGCGGACGGCACAUGAUACUGCGAGACUAGAGUGAUGGAGGGGGAACCGGAAUUCUCGGUGUAGCAGUGAAAUGCGUAGAUAUCGGGAGGAACACUCGUGGCGAAGGCGGGUUCCUGGACAUUAACUGACGCUGAGGCACGAAGGCCAGGGGAGCGAAAGGGAUUAGAUACCCGUGUAGUC